GGGGAAUAUUGCACAAUGGGCCCAACACUGAUGCAGCGAUGCCGCCUGUAUGAAGUAGGCUCUCGGGUUGGAAAGUACUUUCAGCGGGGAGGAAGGCGAUAAGGUUAAUAACCUUGUCGAGUCACGUUACCCGCAGAAGAAGCACCGGCUAACUCCGUGCCAGCAGCCGCGGUAAUACGGAGGGUGCAAGCGUUAAUCGGAAUUACUGGGCGUAAAGCGCACGCAGGCGGUCUGUCAAGUCGGAUGUGAAAUCCCCGGGCUCAACCUGGGAACUGCAUUCGAAACUGGCAGGCUGGAGUCUUGUAGAGGGGGGUAGAAUUCCAGGUGUAGCGGUGAAAUGCGUAGAGAUCUGGAGGAAUACCGGUGGCGAAGGCGGCCCCCUGGACAAAGACUGACGCUCAGGUGCGAAAGCGUGGGGAGCAAACA
RNAcentral lists this ribosomal RNA (426 nucleotides) under uncultured Enterobacteriaceae bacterium. RNAcentral describes it as "bacterial SSU rRNA". It matches the Rfam family "Bacterial small subunit ribosomal RNA", at positions 356 to 774 of the family's 1533-position model. The record is from RNAcentral. Lineage: Bacteria; Pseudomonadati; Pseudomonadota; Gammaproteobacteria; Enterobacterales; Enterobacteriaceae.